This 419-nucleotide ribosomal RNA is filed under the name uncultured ammonia-oxidizing beta proteobacterium. RNAcentral's name for it is "bacterial SSU rRNA". It matches the Rfam family "Bacterial small subunit ribosomal RNA", at positions 197 to 597 of the family's 1533-position model. Lineage: Bacteria; Pseudomonadati; Pseudomonadota; Betaproteobacteria. The record is from RNAcentral.
UGGAGGAAAGCAGGGGAUCGUAAGACCUUGCGCUUUUGGAGCGGCCGAUGUCUGAUUAGCUAGUUGGUGGGGUAAUGGCCUACCAAAGCUUCGAUCAGUAGCUGGUCUGAGAGGACGGCCAGCCACACUGGGACUGAGACACGGCCCAGACUCCUACGGGAGGCAGCAGUGGGGAAUUUUGGACAAUGGGCGCAAGCCUGAUCCAGCCAUGCCGCGUGAGUGAAGAAGGCCUUCGGGUUGUAAAGCUCUUUCAGCCGGGAAGAAAAGGCUGCGACUAAUAAUCGCAGUUCAUGACGGUACCGGAAGAAGAAGCACCGGCUAACUACAUGCCAGCAGCCGCGGUAAUACGUAGGGUGCGAGCGUUAAUCGGAAUUACCGGGCGUAAAGGGUGCGCAGGCGGUUUUGUAAGUCAGAUGUGA